AUCUGCUUUACUAUUCUAGCCCAGGACAGGCUUGCUGUAGCUGUAUAAUUGCAGAUUUCUCAAUGCAGGCCAAUGAGAAGUUUUUGCAAAGCAGGUGCUCUUCUGGGCAAUUGCCUGGCUAUUGAAUUUAGCACACUGAGCUAAUCAAACUAUUAAGAAGCAGGACAAGUUAUCUGCUUGAAAACCAAGGGGUAUCACAAGAUUAAUU
Pelobates cultripes (western spadefoot toad) is the source of this 208-nucleotide non-coding RNA. Lineage: Eukaryota; Metazoa; Chordata; Amphibia; Anura; Pelobatidae. The record is from the annotation of a GenBank genome assembly.